RNAcentral lists this ribosomal RNA (149 nucleotides) under uncultured Vannellidae. RNAcentral's name for it is "5.8S ribosomal RNA". The stretch from base 1 to 82 matches the Rfam family "5.8S ribosomal RNA", at positions 69 to 154 of the family's 154-position model. From Rfam's summary of the family: 5.8S ribosomal RNA (5.8S rRNA) is a component of the large subunit of the eukaryotic ribosome. Lineage: Eukaryota; Discosea; Flabellinia; Vannellidae. The record is from RNAcentral.
GAAUUGCAGAACUCAGUGAAUCAUCAAAUCUUUGAACGCAAAUUGCACUAAUAGUAAUAUUAGUACAUUUAUUUGAGUGUCGUUUAAUAAUCUAAUCAUUAUAAUAAUGAAUGUCUUUUAGUCAUUUUAACAUCAUAUAAUCCAAUUAU